This 470-nucleotide ribosomal RNA is filed under the name uncultured bacterium. Its description in RNAcentral is "bacterial SSU rRNA". It matches the Rfam family "Bacterial small subunit ribosomal RNA", at positions 355 to 825 of the family's 1533-position model. The record is from RNAcentral.
UGGGGAAUAUUGGACAAUGGGCGCAAGCCUGAUCCAGCCAUGCCGCGUGUGUGAAGAAGGCCUUCGGGUUGUAAAGCACUUUCAGCGAGGAGGAAGGGAGUUGUGUUAAUAGCACAGCUUCUUGACGUUACUCGCAGAAGAAGCACCGGCUAACUCUGUGCCAGCAGCCGCGGUAAUACAGAGGGUGCAAGCGUUAAUCGGAAUUACUGGGCGUAAAGCGCACGUAGGCGGUUUUUAAGUCAGAUGUGAAAGCCCCGGGCUCAACCUGGGAAUUGCAUUGGAGACUGCAAGGCUAGAAUCUGGCAGAGGGGGGUAGAAUUCCACGUGUAGCAGUGAAAUGCGUAGAUAUGCGGAGGAACACCGAUGGCGAAGGCAAUCCCCUGGACCUGUACUGACGCUCAUGCACGAAAGCGUGGGAGCAAACAGGAUUAGAUACCCGCGUAGUCCCUGAGCGGGCUGGCAAGGCGCAU